Molecule: ribosomal RNA, 1187 nt
Filed under: Salmonella enterica subsp. enterica serovar Typhimurium str. CDC_2009K1283
Lineage: Bacteria; Pseudomonadati; Pseudomonadota; Gammaproteobacteria; Enterobacterales; Enterobacteriaceae
Description: bacterial LSU rRNA
Rfam family: Bacterial large subunit ribosomal RNA
Source: RNAcentral
GGGUUGUGAGGUUAAGCGACUAAGCGUACACGGUGGAUGCCCUGGCAGUCAGAGGCGAUGAAGGGCGUGCUAAUCUGCGAUAAGCGCCGGUAAGGUGAUAUGAACCGUUAUAACCGGCGAUACCCGAAUGGGGAAACCCAGUGUGAUUCGUCACACUAUCAUUAACUGAAUCCAUAGGUUAAUGAGGCGAACCGGGGGAACUGAAACAUCUAAGUACCCCGAGGAAAAGAAAUCAACCGAGAUUCCCCCAGUAGCGGCGAGCGAACGGGGAGGAGCCCAGAGCCUGAAUCAGCAUGUGUGUUAGUGGAAGCGUCUGGAAAGGCGCGCGAUACAGGGUGACAGCCCCGUACACAAAAGCGCAUGUGCUGUGAGCUCGAUGAGUAGGGCGGGACACGUGGUAUCCUGUCUGAAUAUGGGGGGACCAUCCUCCAAGGCUAAAUACUCCUGACUGACCGAUAGUGAACCAGUACCGUGAGGGAAAGGCGAAAAGAACCCCGGCGAGGGGAGUGAAAAAGAACCUGAAACCGUGUACGUACAAGCAGUGGGAGCCCCACCACUAAGCCAGUGGUGAACUCCACAUCCGCAUCCUUUGCUGAGGAUACGGUUAACGGAGCGAAAGCGACGUUCAACCGCAAAACAAGCAGAGGGGGCUUAGUGGUGGGGUGACUGCGUACCUUUUGUAUAAUGGGUCAGCGACUUAUAUUCUGUAGCAAGGUUAACCGAAUAGGGGAGCCGGAGGGAAACCGAGUCUUAAUUGGGCGUUAAGUUGCAGGGUAUAGACCCGAAACCCGGUGAUCUAGCCAUGGGCAGGUUGAAGGUUGGGUAACACUAACUGGAGGACCGAACCGACUAAUGUUGAAAAAUUAGCGGAUGACCUGUGGCUGGGGGUGAAAGGCCAAUCAAACCGGGAGAUAGCUGGUUCUCCCCGAAAGCUAUUUAGGUAGCGCCUCGUGAAUUCAUCUCCGGGGGUAGAGCACUGUUUCGGCUAGGGGGCCAUCCCGGCUUACCAACCCGAUGCAAACUGCGAAUACCGGAGAAUGUUAUCACGGGAGACACACGGCGGGUGCUAACGUCCGUCGUGAAGAGGGAAACAACCCAGACCGCCAGCUAAGGUCCCAAAGUCAUGGUUAAGUGGGAAACGAUGUGGGAAGGCCCAGACAGCCAGGAUGUUGGCUUAGAAGCAGCCA